This 2569-nucleotide unclassified non-coding RNA is filed under the name Hevea brasiliensis (rubber tree). Lineage: Eukaryota; Viridiplantae; Streptophyta; Magnoliopsida; Malpighiales; Euphorbiaceae. The record is from RNAcentral.
CGAGUAAGAAAACUUAACCGUUUUUGGAGGUGACUGGAUUCUGGCCGCGAUGCGUUGCAACUGCCGCAACUACUCAGGGGCGGAGAUUUCGAUGUUAUGCUAUGAAGUAAAACCCACGUGUGCUCAUAAACUAUGAAGAAGGGAGGACACGAAGCAUCGUUAAAGACAACACCGGGCAGCUCUCUCCUCGUAAUCUCCAAACUCCGAAUUAUCUGCUUAAAUUUGCUAUUAUUGCCUUACAAAGGUACGGUCUUUUCUGUGCUCUGCUUCUUACCAGUGUUCACUGAUUUGGUUUUGGAUUUAAUUUUUGUACAUGGAGAUUCCACUGUUGUGUUACCGAAGUGUCUCAUUGGAUCAAAUUCGGAGUAGUUGUAGCUUGCCUUCCUCUGUCUCAGAUUACAGGUGUUUUAUUAAGCAGAAAACUUUAUCUUCUGUGUAUCGUUUUUCUUUAAAUAGAAGAAAAUGGAGGAAUCCCUUCGCCAAGAUUCGGUGUUGUUCACUGCAUCGAGGGCUACAACCACGCCCUAAGCCGAAACCUUCAAAAUUUGACGCUGAUGUAGAAGAAGAAACUGAUUUGCGAGAUACCCAAAUAAAAAAGCCCAGUGCCAGAGUUUGUAGUCAGUUAGAGAAAUUAGUUCUUUAUGGAAGGUACAGAGAGGCACUUGAGUUGUUUGAGAUCUUUGAGCAGUAUGGUGGGUUUGAUAUGGGCAGUAGCACGUAUGAUGCAUUAGUCAGUGCGUGUAUAGGGUUAAGAUCUAUCCCUGGAGUGAAGAGAGUGUUUAAUUACAUGAUGAGUAAUGGAUUCGAACCUGAUCAGUACAUGAGAAACAGAAUAUUGCUUAUGCAUGUUAAAUGUGGGAUGAUGAUCCAUGCACGUAAAUGGUUUGACGAAAUGCACGAGAGGAAUCUGGUUUCUUGGAACACAAUCAUUGCUGGGCAUGUGGACACAGGGGACUAUGUAGAAGCUUUUAGGCUGUUUCUGAUUAUGUGGGAGGAGUUUUCUGAUGCUGGGUCUCGGACUUUUGCCACCAUGAUCCAGGCGUCUGCUGGGUUGGGAUUGAUUUCUGCAGGGAAACAGUUACAUUCGUGCACUUUGAAGAUGGGAGUUGGGGAUGAUAUAUUUGUUUCUUGUGCUCUGAUUGAUAUGUAUAGCAAGUGUGGGAGCAUUGAAGAUGCUCAUUAUGUCUUUGAUGAAAUGCCAGAGAAAACUACAGUGGGGUGGAAUACUAUCAUUGCAGGUUAUGCGCUUCAUGGCUACAGUGAAGAAGCUUUGGACAUGUACUAUGAUAUGCGUGAUUCCGGUGUUAGAAUGGACCAUUUCACAUUUUCUAUAAUAGUGAGAAUAUGUGCAAGAUUAGCUUCUUUGGAUUAUGCUAAGCAAGCCCAUGCUGCUCUUGUUCGUCAUGGUUUUGGAUCUGAUAUUGUAGCAAACACAGCUCUUGUUGACUUUUAUAGCAAAUGGGGAAGAAUAGAAGAUGCUCGGAAUGUUUUCAACAAGAUGCCUUGCAAGAAUGUCAUCUCCUGGAAUGCCUUGAUUGCUGGAUAUGGUAAUCAUGGUCGGGGAGAUGAUGCAAUUGAGUUGUUUGAGCUGAUGCUUCGACAAAGGAUGAGACCAAACCAUGUCACUUUUCUUGCUGUUUUAUCUGCUUGUAGCUAUUCUGGUUUAUCAGAGCAUGGGUGGGAAAUUUUUCAAGCUAUGGGUAGAGAUUACACGGUAAAGCCACGGGCAAUGCACUACGCAUGUAUGAUCGAAUUAUUAGGUAGAGAGGGGCUCUUAGAUGAAGCUUUUGCAUUGAUAAGAGGUGCUCCUUUCAAGCCUACAGCAAAUAUGUGGGCUGCACUAUUGACAGCUUGUCGUGUCCAUCAGAACUUAGAGCUUGGAAAAUUUGCAGCUGAGAAACUUUAUGGAAUGGAACCAGAGAAGCUUAAUAAUUACAUUGUGCUUUUGAAUAUAUACAACAGUUCUGGCAAGUUAAAGGAAGCUGCGGCUGUCAUCCAGACCUUGAGAAGAAAGGGUUUGAGAAUGCUUCCAGCAUGCAGUUGGAUUGAAGUUAACAAAGUGACGAAUGUUUUCCAUUCUGGAGAUAAAAGCCAUGCCCAGAGAAAGGAGAUCUAUCAAAAAGUGGAUUACUUGAUGAAAGAAAUUGCUAAGCAUGGUUAUGUUCCUGAGAAUAAAACUUUGCUUCCUGAUGUGGAUGAACAAGAACAGCGCAUAUUGUCAUACCAUAGCGAGAAAUUGGCAAUUGCUUUUGGACUGAUCAAUACCCCAUAUUGGGUGCCUUUGCAAAUUGUUCAGGGCCAUCGGCUAUGUAGCGACUGUCACAAAGCAAUUGAGUUGAUAGCUAUGGUUACCAGGAGGGAAAUUGUGGUGAAGGAUGCCAGCAGAUUCCACCAUUUUAAAGAUGGGAAUUGUUCUUGUGGAGACUAUUGGUGAUGUUAAAAUAAUUUGUGGCUGAAACUGUCAAAAAUUUUUGUCCAUUGUUCUAUAUUUUCCUCCUCUGGAGAUAGUAUAAGCAUUAGUUGUAAACUCUUUCUUUUCCUGGUAAAUAAAAGGAAAGUGGACCUCUUU